CAAUAAGCGGAGGAAAAGAAACCAACAGGGAUUGCCCCAGUAACGGCGAGUGAAGCGGCAACAGCUCAAAUUUGAAAUCUGGCCCCCCCCGCGGGGGCCCGAGUUGUACUUUGGAGAGGAUGCUUUGGGCGCGGCGCCGGCCGAGUUCCCUGGAACGGGACGCCAGAGAGGGUGAGAGCCCCGUACGGCCGGACGCCCAGCCCGUGCAAAGCUCCUUCGACGAGUCGAGUAGUUUGGGAAUGCUGCUCAAAACGGGAGGUAAAUUUCUUCUAAAGCUAAAUACCGGCCAGAGACCGAUAGCGCACAAGUAGAGUGAUCGAAAGAUGAAAAGCACUUUGAAAAGAGGGUUAAACAGCACGUGAAAUUGUUGAAAGGGAAGCGCCUGGGGCCAGACGUGCGCCCCGCGGACCACCCGGCGCCCCGCGCGCCGGGGCACGCCGCGGGCGCGCAGGCCAGCAUCGGCUCCCCGCCAGGGGGACAAGGGCCGCGGGAACGUAGCUCCUCCGGGAGCGUUAUAGCCCGCGGCGCCAUGCCCCUGGGGGGGCCGAGG
This 550-nucleotide ribosomal RNA is filed under the name Raffaelea promiscua. Its description in RNAcentral is "partial large subunit ribosomal RNA". It matches the Rfam family "Eukaryotic large subunit ribosomal RNA", at positions 44 to 515 of the family's 3401-position model. The record is from RNAcentral. Lineage: Eukaryota; Fungi; Ascomycota; Sordariomycetes; Ophiostomatales; Ophiostomataceae.